UCACUACUUGCGUAGGCAGUUUCUUUAGAGUCCCCAGCAUUACCUGAUGGCAACUAAAGAUAGGGGUUGCGCUCGUUAUGGGACUUAACCCGACACCUCACGGCACGAGCUGACGACAACCAUGCAGCACCUCGUAGAAUGUCCGAAGAAGAUCACGUUUCCGCGACUGUCAUUCCACGUUCGAGCCCAGGUAAGGUUCCUCGCGUAUCAUCGAAUUAAACCACAUGCUCCUCCGCUUGUGCGGGCCCCCGUCAAUUCCUUUGAGUUUCAAUCUUGCGACCGUACUCCCCAGGUGGAUCACUUAAUACUUUCGCUAAGACGCUGACUGUGUAUCGCCAACAUCGAGUGAUCAUCGUUUACGGCGUGGACUAC
This 372-nucleotide unclassified non-coding RNA is filed under the name uncultured Lentimicrobiaceae bacterium. RNAcentral's name for it is "contains 16S-23S intergenic spacer region". The record is from RNAcentral. Lineage: Bacteria; Pseudomonadati; Bacteroidota; Bacteroidia; Bacteroidales; Lentimicrobiaceae.